UUUCCUCGCUCUCGCCUUCGCAUUCCCCCCUAGCUUUUCCCACCCUCGCCCUCCCCCCUAAAUAGCGCCUGCUACGCAGGCUAAACAUAAUAGGGUUCUGCUCAAAUCUCAAUACCAUGUGAGUGCCAGGGAUCUGUUGGCCCAAAUUUGUAAUUUUAUAUUAUGCAAACCAGUUUUAACAGCCGAAGUAUGAUAUUAUAACUACAUGAAAGAAGAGACAAUGCAUUGAUAAAUUGAGGCAAG
This is a non-coding RNA of Paramuricea clavata, 243 nucleotides long. The record is from the annotation of a GenBank genome assembly. NCBI's taxonomy places the organism in Eukaryota, Metazoa, Cnidaria, Anthozoa, Malacalcyonacea, Plexauridae.